UACGUAGGGUGCGGGCGUUACUCAUAUUUACUGGGCGUAAAGGGUGCGUAGGUGGUUUAUAGUAGUUUUUUGUAAAAGGUUAAUGGUUUUAAAAAUUGCAAAUUAAGACUGGUAAACUAAGAGUAUAUAAGAGGAUGAUGGUACUCACAGUGUAGAGGUAGAAUUCGGAGAUAUUGACGGGGACUAUCGAAGGCGAAGGCAUUCAUCUAAUAUAUACUGACGCUGAGGCACUAAAGCAUGGGUCUCGAACAGG
This 253-nucleotide ribosomal RNA is filed under the name uncultured bacterium. Its description in RNAcentral is "partial 16S ribosomal RNA". It matches the Rfam family "Bacterial small subunit ribosomal RNA", at positions 524 to 776 of the family's 1533-position model. The record is from RNAcentral.